GCCUACGGGUCUCAGCAGUUUUUUAUAUUUCACAAUUUUGUAAACCCUUAUGCAGCGACGCCGCGUGAGUGAAGAAGUAUUUCGGUACGUAAAGCUCUAUCAGCAGGGAAGAAAAUGACGGUACCUGACUAAGAAGCCCCGGCUAACUACGUGCCAGCAGCCGCGGUAAUACGUAGGGGGCAAGCGUUAUCCGGAUUUACUGGGUGUAAAGGGAGCGUAGACGGCAGCGCAAGUCUGGAGUGAAAUGCCGGGGCCCAACCCCGGAACUGCUUUGGAAACUGUGCAGCUCGAGUGCAGGAGAGGUA
RNAcentral lists this ribosomal RNA (305 nucleotides) under uncultured bacterium. Its description in RNAcentral is "bacterial SSU rRNA". It matches the Rfam family "Bacterial small subunit ribosomal RNA", at positions 337 to 659 of the family's 1533-position model. The record is from RNAcentral.